RNAcentral lists this ribosomal RNA (305 nucleotides) under uncultured bacterium. Its description in RNAcentral is "bacterial SSU rRNA". It matches the Rfam family "Bacterial small subunit ribosomal RNA", at positions 334 to 653 of the family's 1533-position model. The record is from RNAcentral.
CAGGCCUACGGGGCGCAGCAGUGAGGAAUAUUGGUCAAUGGACGCAAGCCUGACCCAGCAACGCCGCGUGAAGGAAGAAGGCCCUCGGGUUGUAAACUUCUUUUAUUCGGGACGAAACAAAUGACGGUACCGAAUGAAUAAGCCACGGCUAACUACGUGCCAGCAGCCGCGGUAAUACGUAGGUGGCAAGCGUUAUCCGGAUUUACUGGGUGUAAAGGGCGUGUAGGCGGGAGAGCAAGUCAGACGUGAAAUUCCAGGGCUCAACCCUGGAACUGCGUUUGAAACUGUUCUUCUUGAGUGAUGGG